AUACUUUUGUUCGGAUCAAAUGCCAAAUCCUGAAUAAAAUUCACGCAUAAAGAGUUUUAUAAUAAUUCGUGUGAUGGAUUGAAAGCUGUAGUAUACAUAUACGAUAGUACCUACGAGUUUACCUCUGUUCGUCAAAGAAAAAAAUAAACAGUUGAUAUCUCGACUUGCCUGCAGUGUAUCCCAUGAGGAUUCAUUAAAAACGUGUUUACGUGAUCUAAAUUUGGAAUGAGCUAUGGGAUUUAUUUCGAUUUCUACUAGACAGUAUUGUCCUUGGAUAUAAUCAUCCCGUUCAAAUACUUCGACAUUGACGCAUUCGUCAAAGUUCCCGAGAUUGUACGUAGAUCCGUCAAACCAGCCAGUCGAUAUAAAUUUGGCAGACGCGUCAAACACUAAAAGCAAAUAGUAAACACGAAGUUCCCUGUAGAACGUACAAGGAAAGUUUUAAAUAUUGGUGGGAAUUUGCAUGCACAUAACAACAGUCAACGGUAAUUAUUAAGAGGACAUCGUAUCGGAUGCUGAGCCGAGUAGCAAUCAAAUUGGGUGCGAAACUCUAAAAUACGUUCUCGCGUUCUAUAAAUUAUAAUGAAAAUUCCCUGUAUAUAACAAUGAGAUUGUACUUACUAUUAGUUGUAUAUAAAAAUAUUAUUAUUGGGAAUUAU
Aphis gossypii (cotton aphid) is the source of this 659-nucleotide long non-coding RNA. RefSeq lists it as uncharacterized. The record is from RefSeq and is a predicted model, not a curated record. Lineage: Eukaryota; Metazoa; Arthropoda; Insecta; Hemiptera; Aphididae. The transcript is spliced from 3 exons.